RNAcentral lists this unclassified non-coding RNA (242 nucleotides) under uncultured fungus. Its description in RNAcentral is "partial contains 5.8S ribosomal RNA, internal transcribed spacer 2, and large subunit ribosomal RNA". The stretch from base 1 to 52 matches the Rfam family "5.8S ribosomal RNA", at positions 103 to 154 of the family's 154-position model. The record is from RNAcentral. Lineage: Eukaryota; Fungi.
AACGCACAUUGCGCCCUCUGGUAUUCCGGGGGGCAUGCCUGUUCGAGCGUCAUUACAACCCUCAAGCUCUGCUUGGUAUUGGGCUCUGCCGGUCCUGGCAGGCCUCAAAGUCAGUGGCGGUGCCAUCCGGCUCCAAGCGUAGUAAUUCUUCUCGCUUCGGAGGCCGCGGUGCGUGCUAGCCAGCAACCCCCAAUUUUUUUCAGGUUGACCUCGGAUCAGGUAGGGAUACCCGCUGAACUUAA